UAGGUUCUGCGGGUCAAAGGGAGAGCAGGGUGAGGGCAUGGGGGAAUACAAAUCCAUUGGCGUCCCUCGGCCUGUUCACACCAGCGGUGAGCAGAAGAGGUCGGCGUAGGGGGGUCACGGAUGACAUCACCCUGCCAUGCCCAAAUUAGAUUGCCCAUACCGUCGGUGAAGCAGGCCUCUGGCUCCACUGGGUCUGGCUCUUCCUCUUCCACUUCCUCUGGUUCAGGCUCAGGUGGUUGAUAGUCCACUGUGCUGCAUACCGAAGAAUCCCCAUCAUUUAUUGCACCCAUCAGCUGGUCAAGAAUCACAAGUGCGUAAGGUAUUCAAAGUCUGACUCUCCCUGGGCGAUUGGCACAUUGAGACUGAGCUCUCCAUCCACAAUAAAUCCAGAAGGCCGGCCUUCCACCAAACAAUUAGGGGCCGCGCCCUCCAUGGCAGCGUCCUCUUGCUCCUUGGGGUUUCUGCCUAGAAUCUGCAGAACGGUUUGCAUGGCAAACGCUUUGAACCAGUUGAUGCCCCGUGUGAUCCUGCCGAUGGCAAUCUGGAGGUUGUUCAUCUCCCCGUCCUCCUCCGUCGAAAGGUUGUCUCCGCUGAACGAGCUGAGCAGCAGGGCCAGGAAGAGGUUCAGCACCUGGAGAAAGGAAAACGUGAAAGUCACUUAUCACUGGGUCAAAGUGUGCCGACAGCGCUGAACUAAGCAAAGAAGUCUGGACCGGCUCAUUGGGCUUGGAUGAUGCAUCGGUAAACAUUAUGUUGUCUGCCUCCGGUUGCAGACGUAGCUAUCUUUAGUUUCUUAAACCUGUUAGCCAGUUUCUCGGUUCCUGUUGCCCAGGUUUAGCGGGAGAUCACGGUUACAUGGGCUGAUCCCCUGCUUCGAAUUUAGUUCCUUUAGAGCAGCUCUAAUAAACCGGAUGAUGUGAGAAGUUU
This is a long non-coding RNA of Scophthalmus maximus (turbot), 927 nucleotides long. RefSeq lists it as uncharacterized. The record is from RefSeq and is a predicted model, not a curated record. Lineage: Eukaryota; Metazoa; Chordata; Actinopteri; Pleuronectiformes; Scophthalmidae. The transcript has 5 exons.